GGCGGGGGUGGUGCUCGGAGCCGUUGCCCCGGCGCAAGCGGCGCGCUCGGGCGGUAUCGCGCCCUACCCUCCUGGUUGCCCUUCGGGACUGGAAGAGCCCUCUUGGCACCGUGGGGCUUGUCUGUGGGUGCCGCGGGAGCGCUGACUUUCCCUGCGUCCAUGAGUCUCCGGGUCCGCGGGAGAGUCUGAUGGCGUCGCCUGGCAGCGGCCACCGUCAUCCUCCGGGAGCGGUACUGCAUUGACUUUCAGGUGUGUGAGAAAUCACUGUGGCCCACAGCAACCAGUAGGUAAGCAGCAGAAGAAAACUUCCCACCACUUUCUGAUGAGAUUUUUCUCAGUUUCUAAGUUGAUUAAUGUCC
Parus major (Great Tit) is the source of this 359-nucleotide long non-coding RNA. The record is from Ensembl. NCBI's taxonomy places the organism in Eukaryota, Metazoa, Chordata, Aves, Passeriformes, Paridae.